Molecule: small nucleolar RNA, 91 nt
Organism: Hirsutella minnesotensis 3608
Lineage: Eukaryota; Fungi; Ascomycota; Sordariomycetes; Hypocreales; Ophiocordycipitaceae
Rfam family: A. fumigatus snoRNA Afu_513
Source: Rfam
UUGCAUGAUGAAGCGGCACUGGGCUCCGAAUAUAUCGCAUGAGCAAGAGAAGCCAUUUUGCGGCAGGCCUAGAAAACCUCGCCCACUGACU